AAGAUACAAUAAAACAUCAAACAUGAAAAACUUCCUCAAACAGGGCGCUGCUUCCGGAGACCCGUUUCUGGAAGCCCCGGGAGAGGAGCGGAGCUCUGGCGCUCGGAUCCUGCUCGCUGCUUCCCCAUGGACGGGCCCCGGCCUGAUCCUGCAGGCUCUCCCGAGGUCCUUCGGUCUUCACGCAGCGCAUCCCUGAAGGCGCUCGAGUCCCACCUGGCUGGUUCCCCAAGAUGAUGGGAUGCGCAGAAGGGGCUGCCUCGCCGUGCGCGCGGCGGUGUCGGGAGCGCGCCGGGCCCCGCCGCGCAUGCGUCCCUGCCGCUGGGCCAGCCGAGCUCCUUCCGUGGACCUGGACUGGUCGGCCGGCGGGCGCGCGCCGGAGGCUGCUGCGGGGCUGGCGGGGCAGGGGUCCCCAGGGUCACCUAGCCCAACCUCCCGCAAGGUAGAACUGUUUUGCCCAACCUGGGGCUCGAACCCACGACGCUGAGAUGAUCGAGCCUCGCGCUUGACCCGCCCCUCUUUGGCUUUAUCUCUGGGUGUCUGCAGUGCGCUUGGCUCCUCCUGCGAUCCUGGGAUAAAAAGAAGAUAUCUUUAUCGGACUGAGUGAAAUGAAGAUAAUUAUGUGUUGUAUAUAUAUGGAAAAUAAUAAAUAAAGCAACUAAUAGAAAAAAAUACAGCAGGCACCUCUCAUUAGGCAGAACUUGGCAGAAGGCCAAAGGAUCCUUCCGAUCUCCUGGAGGUGUCCUGAGAACAGAGAUGGAUGAGCAAGACUCAGCUGGCCCUGAAGCAGGAAGAGGCCAUGCCAUGGAAACGGGGAGCUGUGGGGGAUUCCAUGAAGACUCCGUGCAGAAGAUCCUGGGUGAGGAGGACACCCCUUGCUCAGAGGUGCAGAGCCAGCAGCUCAGGCAGUUCUUCCACCAGGAGGCCAAAGGACCCCGAGAGGUUUGCAGCCAACUCUACCACCUUUGCUGUCAAUGGCUGAAGCCGGAAAGGCACACGAAAGCUGAGAUGUUGGACCUGGUGAUCUUGGAGCAGUUCCUGGCUGUCCUUCCUCUGGAGAUGGAGAGCUGGGUGAGGGAAUGC
This is a non-coding RNA of Podarcis muralis (Common wall lizard), 1080 nucleotides long. The record is from RefSeq and is a predicted model, not a curated record. NCBI's taxonomy places the organism in Eukaryota, Metazoa, Chordata, Lepidosauria, Squamata, Lacertidae.